CACAUGCACCAGGGCCAACCACAUGGAGUGGCCUCACUUUGUAACAACCCACUCUGAAAGCCCGCUGUUAGUCUGUUCAUCUCUGAACGUCAAUCGUGUCAUCUCUGUGACUUUCCACCAGACCUCCUCUCUUAAAGGUUCUAUCACUUCGCCCCCAAACUGGGGACCAAGGUUCUAGCACAUGAGCCUUUGGGGAGACACUCAAACCAUAGCCAAACUCUAGCACCCUUUCUCAGCACCUGUGAGCUCAGCUCAAGAUUGGAUACCAUAAUCAAGUCCUCAGAAGGCUCCGGGGGCUGGAUUUUCAAAAGCACAAGAAGCUGGACAAAAGCCUGUUCUAACCCCAGAGUGAAUUACCUGGAAGAGUACAAGAAACUCACUUUCAAAGACACAAGUUGGUUGCUCAUUGGCUCCUGAACAACAGAGACUUCACUGGGUAACAAGGCUAAGAAAAUAGACUCAAUACAUGUGAUAGUUUGGAGAUGCAGAACACCUUGGGCACAUCCGACCUCCUUUCAGAAGUUGUGGACUGCUGGUGAGAAGGUCAUAUGGGCAUGGAUCUCUAUCACAGGUCAAGAAGGUUCUAGAAGGACAUCCUGUAGAAUUCCUGCUCUUGACACCAUGGGUGAUUCUUCUUGUGCCAGCAAACCAAGCCAUUUUGACAGCACACAGGACCGGCGCUGUUUGCUAAGAACCAGGAGGACAGUCAUUGGACUGAAGACCCACCCUAAAUCCAGAAUGAUUUCAUCUGAAGACCCUUGAUUGUAUCUGCAAAGAAUCUCAUUUUAAGGCUGUUUCAUAAUGCUUGUUGCUGAAACAUUUGCCGAAAUCAGUCUGGCUGAAGGCUUCAUGGAUAUUACCUGGAGGGAGGAGAGAUUUUAUGAGGAACACUCCACCUUCCUGUGCUACCAACUGGGUCAUGAGCUAUGAAAGGCGCCAACUGCAGCUUCUUAAUCGUCUCAUCCCCAGCACGCAGCGCUGAGCCGGGCACGCGAAGGGUGUCUUUCUGCAGGUACCUGCCUAGCAAACAAGUGCGGCUGAGUGUGUGCACAGGGAGGACGCGAGGUCAAGGCGACCAUCGCGAGAGGAAGGUUUAAUUGGAGUGUCACCUCCCCACGUCGGCUGAAAUCCCCUGAAGACCUCUCGCAUCUCUGCAGAAGCUGUAAGAAAGGGCGAGGUUGGAGUGGGCAGCUGAGCAGAACAUUGAGUUAAGUGCAGGCACUGAUCCUUGAAAGGCCCGGCUCAUCCGGGGAGAGAGGGCAUCGGGAGGGAACAGGAAAAACCUCCCAACCGGGGGCUGCGAGCUAAGAUCCGCUCGGUCAUUAAGAUUCAACGGAGAGAAGCCGCGGCUGUCUUGUAGGUGCCUGUUGAGAAUAGACCGUACAAGCUCAUGGAUGGACUCUAGGAGGACUUGUGAAUUACAUCUCAAAACCUAGGGGGAAAAUGGUGCGAAAUGGCCUUUGUUAUUAGGCUUGUAUUUUAUCACCCUAUUUUGGAAGGCUGUUUGCAGACAGGAGAGGCUUUCUCCAAGAGCCUCCCACAGGUGGAGAAAGUGUUCGGUAUUUGUAACCUGUCUCCUUCCCUAUUAAUCAUCCUGAUUCUCUCAUCCUGUGCUGAUGUCAUGAGCCUCUCUAUUUGAAAACUGUACCAUAUUUAUCUUGUAGUCUUUAAUAAAUCAUUUGCCGGUUGUGUGUGAUCUCGGGUACUUGGCGUGAGUGAGGUAUCACCCUGUCCCCCCUGCACUGCAUUUCUUAGACAGUGCGGUGGGGUGACUGCCGCUUUGACUCCCUCCGUGAAACAGAGGGAAACUGGCUAUUUCUAAAUUGCUGUUUGGU
This is a long non-coding RNA of Chinchilla lanigera (long-tailed chinchilla), 1835 nucleotides long. RefSeq lists it as uncharacterized. The transcript has 6 exons. The record is from RefSeq and is a predicted model, not a curated record. Lineage: Eukaryota; Metazoa; Chordata; Mammalia; Rodentia; Chinchillidae.